CUGACUUAACCCAAUACACAGCAGCAGCUUUCCUUUCUUCUUAAGUCAACCUAAGACACAACAGCAGUAAAAGGAAAAAAAAGAGAGAGGGAAAAGGGAUAGUGGAGAGAAAGAGAGAACCGAGGGGGAAGAAGAGAAGAGGAAGGUUGCACUGGUGCCACUGGGUCCUGCCACCGCCGCCUCGAUGUUGUCGUCCUCACGAGCCGCCACCGCCGGCCUGGAGCCCGCCGCUCGUGUUCCACGGCAUCGUCAUCUUGCCGCGGGACUUGGUGCCGCCGCUGCCAUCGCGUUGUUUGGAGAGGAAGAGUCGCGCCUGAGAAAGGGAGAACCAGGAGGAGCGUCGCGCAAGAGGGAGGUGAUACCUUGUUGUCGCGGUGCUUCCAUGGCCACCGACGCGCCGCUGCACUUCAUCGUUACCGCUGAAGCCUUCAUCACCAUAGACACAGUCAACACUGAUUAGGGCAGAGGAGAGUGAAAAGCAUGAGGGAUGCACGGAAGACAGAGGAGCAAAAAUGCGACAAAGGGGAGAAGGACGAGGUCCGCUCUCAUGCCGUCCUGCUCCGCCACCGCUGCUGCCAUCAAUUAGAUUGAAACCGUUGUUGUUGCACCCUGUUCUGUUGAUUGAGCCGAUGUUGGAGUUAUUGUUUCGGUUCCAAUAUCUCCGUUCUUGAAACGAACCAUCAUAGGGGAUAAUGUUGAUGCCAUCAGGAAACUGCUAAAGCUGCUGCUAGUUCUGACUUUGCUAUCUUGGGUUGUAAUUGCUAUUAAUUCCUAUCCAAUCUGAAUCUUUUAUUUUGCUGCAACCAUGGCCACUGCGGUGAAGGUUAACAUUACCGCUACCGCUGUUUCGGUUGCUGCCAUUGCCGUUUUAAUUGCGUGAGAGUCGCAUCUGCUGCCAUGAAUUAGUAGGAGAGGGAAUUAUCACGAUUAAAUUUGUGCGAACUCGGUUAAUUGAGGUAGGGUUUUUCUUAUAAUCUAAUUUAUAUUACAGAGUUGUGAUAACUAGAUAUUAAUGUGAGAGAACAUAUGUCUGUGAUUAUGAUUGUCUUCUAAAUGUGGUUGUUUGCUGGACUGAAUGACUGAUUGCUUGAUUGCUUGAGUAGUUUGUGAUUGCUGAAAAGAAAUUAGUUUGAAAGGUUAUUUAGUUGAUUAUUAUGAAAAAUAGCUUUUCUUGGUUUUGAAGCUAUUUUCGAUAAUGUAAAGGAAUUAGCUUUGGAAA
Arachis duranensis is the source of this 1219-nucleotide long non-coding RNA. RefSeq lists it as uncharacterized. The transcript has 3 exons. Lineage: Eukaryota; Viridiplantae; Streptophyta; Magnoliopsida; Fabales; Fabaceae. The record is from RefSeq and is a predicted model, not a curated record.